GUGGUCCCUGGUGGAGGUAGAGCUACUGGAUGGCCGAUGGGCCCUGUGGGUUACUGACGUCAGCCAAACUCCGAAUGCCAUUAGGUGUAGCGUGGCAGUGAGACUGCGGGGGAUAAGCUUCGUAGUCGAGAGGGAAACAGCCCAGAUCAUCAGCUAAGGCCCCUAAGCGUGCGCUAAGUGGGAAAGGAUGUGGAGUCGCGGUGACAACCAGGAGGUUGGCUUAGAAGCAGCCAUCCUUGAAAGAGUGCGUAAUAGCUCACUGGUCAAGUGGUUCUGCGCCGACAAUGUAGCGGGGCUCAAGCGUACCGCCGAAGCUGUGGCAGCAACACGUGGUGCUGGCGCCAUUUAUUGGUUGUUGGUGUGUUGUUGGGUAGGGGAGCGUCCUGCAUGAGGUGAAGCCUGGAGGUGACUUCUGGUGGAUUGUGUGGGAGUGAGAAUGCAGGCAUGAGUAACGAAUCUGCGGUGGGAAUCCGCAGCGCCGAUUGACUAAGGGUUCCAGGGCUAGGUUUAUCCGCCCUGGGUUAGUCGGGUCCUAAGGCGAGGCCGACAGGCGUAGUCGAUGGACAACCAGUUGAUAUUCUGGUACCAGGUUGUGACCGCCCAUGCUGAGGUCAUUGUGCUAACCAAUUUGCCUGCACCUCUUCGUGGCUUUCGGGCCGCGAGCGUGUGUGUGGGUCUUGGGGUCCCGGUGAUGGUAGGCAAGCGUGUUAACAGGGGUGACGCAGACAGGUAACUGCAGUGCGCCGAUGGUUGUGCGUAUUUAAGGUUGUGGCCCGCCCUUUAGGUAAAUCCGGGGGGCACUAGGGUGAGGACUGAUGAGGGACACACGUGUGUGUGGACUUGUGGUGAUCCUAUGCUGCCGAGAAAAGCCUCGACGUGAGGGCAUGACCUGCCCGUACCCUAAACCGACUCAGGUGGUCAGGUAGAGUAUACCGAGGCGUUCGAGUGAAUCGUGGUUAAGGAACUCGGCAAAAUUCCUCCGUAACUUCGGGAUAAGGAGGACCCCGUGACUUCCCAAUGCUUUGCGUGUUGGUGGGGUUGUGGGGUCGCAGAGAAUAGGGAGAAGCGACUGUUUAUCAAAAACACAGGUGCGUGCGAAGCCGUAAGGCGAUGUAUACGCACUGACGCCUGCCCGGUGCUGGAAGGUUAAGAGGAACCGUUAACAUUCUUUAGGGGUGUGAAGCGGUGAAUUUAAGCCCCAGUAAACGGCGGUGGUAACUAUAACCAUCCUAAGGUAGCGAAAUUCCUUGUCGGGUAAGUUCCGACCUGCACGAAUGGCGUAACGACUUCCCCGCUGUCUCAACCAUGAGCUCGGCGAAAUUGCAGUACGAGUAAAGAUGCUCGUUUCGCGCAGAAGGACGGAAAGACCCCGGGACCUUUACUAUAGCUUGGUAUUGGUGUUCGCUUGGACUUGUGUAGGAUAGGUGGGAGACUGUGAAGCUGCCGCGCCAGCGGUGGUGGAGUCGUCGUUGAAAUACCAUUCUGGUUUAAGCGGUCACCUUAACCUUGGCCCGUGAUCCGGGUUGGGGACAGUGCCUGGUGGGUAGUUUAACUGGGGCGGUUGCCUCCUAAAAUGUAACGGAGGCGCUCAAAGGUUCCCUCAGCCUGGUUGGUAAUCAGGUGGCGAGUGCAAGUGUACAAGGGAGCUUGACUGUGAGACCGACGGGUCGAGCAGGUGCGAAAGCAGGAACUAGUGAUCCGGCCAUGGCACGUGGGUGCGUGGUCGCUCAACGGAUAAAAGGUACCCCGGGGAUAACAGGCUGAUCUUGCCCAAGAGUCCAUAUCGACGGCAUGGUUUGGCACCUCGAUGUCGGCUCGUCGCAUCCUGGGGCUGGAGUCGGUCCCAAGGGUUGGGCUGUUCGCCCAUUAAAGCGGUACGCGAGCUGGGUUCAGAACGUCGUGAGACAGUUCGGUCCCUAUCCUCUGUGCGCGCAGGAAAUUUGAGGAGGGCCGUCCCUAGUACGAGAGGACCGGGAUGGACGAACCUCUGGUGUGCCAGUUGUACCGCCAGGUGCAUGGCUGGUUAGCUACGUUCGGAAGGGAUAACCGCUGAAAGCAUCUAAGCGGGAAGCCUGCUCCAAGAUGAGGUUUCCACGCCCCACUUGU
Molecule: ribosomal RNA, 2106 nt
Filed under: human oral metagenome
Description: bacterial LSU rRNA
Rfam family: Bacterial large subunit ribosomal RNA
Source: RNAcentral